Molecule: ribosomal RNA, 250 nt
Filed under: uncultured bacterium
Lineage: Bacteria
Description: partial 16S ribosomal RNA
Rfam family: Bacterial small subunit ribosomal RNA
Source: RNAcentral
UACAGAGGUCUCAAGCGUUGUUCGGAUUCAUUGGGCGUAAAGGGUGCGUAGGCGGCGCGGUAAGUCGGGUGUGAAAUCCCCGGGCUUAACCUGGGAACGUCAUUGGUGACUGCAGCGUUGAGUGUGCAGAGGGGGUAGAAUUCCACGUGUAGCAGUGAAAUGCGUAGAGAUGUGGAGGAAUACCGAUGGCGAAGGCAGCCCCCUGGGCCAACACUGACGCUCAUGCACGAAAGCGUGGGGAGCAAACAGG